UCGGGAAUUUUGGGCAAUGGGCGAAAGCCUGACCCAGCAACGCCGCGUGAAGGAUGAAGUAUUUCGGUAUGUAAACUUCGAAAGAAUAGGAAGAAUUAAUGACGGUACUAUUUAUAAGGUCCGGCUAACUACGUGCCAGCAGCCGCGGUAAUACGUAGGGACCAAGCGUUGUUCGGAUUUACUGGGCGUAAAGGGCGCGUAGGCGGUGCGGUAAGUCACUUGUGAAAUCUCUGAGCUUAACUCAGAACGGCCAAGUGAUACUGCAGUACUAGAGUGCAGAAGGGGCAAUCAGAAUUCUUGGUGUAGCGGUGAAAUGCGUAGAUAUCAAGAGGAAUACCUGAGGUGAAGACGGGUUGCUAGGCUGACACUGACGCUGAGGCGCGAAAGCUAGGGGAGCAAACGGG
Molecule: ribosomal RNA, 404 nt
Filed under: uncultured bacterium
Lineage: Bacteria
Description: bacterial SSU rRNA
Rfam family: Bacterial small subunit ribosomal RNA
Source: RNAcentral